AUGCCGGCAACGGGGGCUCGUAUAUCAUUGAAGGGGGCCAGCGCACUUGUCUAGUGUGGGAGGCAAGGUAGCACGCUCUAGUCUAGAGCUCGAGGAGGCUCACACCUCGCUUGUUCUACGCCUUGGAGUUUGUUCGCAAUGGGCACCGACUUAGUGCUGGAAGUACACUGGGGAGGUAGGCGCUCCAAGACACAGCAUCACGUCUUGGGGCGUAACAGGUGGCUUCAGCUUGUGCAGUGGAGUCACCUUGGAGGCGAGUGACCCAUGAGCGACGCCGGGUCAUCGUGCUCGAGUUGGACCGCUUGGCUGCGACGACGUCGAGCUAGAUCGACAUGGUGUUCGUCUGGCCUGACAUCAUUGUGACCGAGUGGAGGAGUGGCAAGGCGAAGCAGGUGGCUUCAAGCUCCGCGGUGGAGUCACCUGGGAGGCGGACGGCCCAAGAGCAGCGCCGGGCGUUCGUGCUCAUAGUUUCACUAGUUUCUUCGAGAGUGCGCUCUCAAUGUUGUUUUGAUCCCUUUGGGAUUGGGGUAAUGUACAUAUAUGUUUAGCGAUCUCGCCGGAUUGCAACACCACGGGGUGUCUUUGACCCUAAA
This 593-nucleotide long non-coding RNA is filed under the name Selaginella moellendorffii. RNAcentral's name for it is "long non-coding RNA (SMOE_LNC002393)". The record is from RNAcentral. Lineage: Eukaryota; Viridiplantae; Streptophyta; Lycopodiopsida; Selaginellales; Selaginellaceae.